GCACUUGAGGGCUGGCGUCUGCACCACAUGGACGUAAAGUCCGCAUUCUUGAACGGAGAGCUGCAGGAGGAGGUGUUCGUGCGACAACCCCCUGGUUAUGAAGAAGACGACAAUGAGCACAAAGUUUUGAAGCUGAACAAGGCAUUGUAUGGACUUCGUCAGGCGCCGACAGCAUGGUAUGCCAAGUUGCACGCCACUCUGCUCACGCUCGGGUUCGAGAGAUGUCCUCUUGAGCACGUGGUGUACAUGAGAAGCAAAGGUGGCUCGCGGCUGCUCGUAGGCGUUUAUGUCGAUGACUUGGUGAUCACUGGUGCAAGCCAAGUGGAGAUUGACAGCUUCAAGGAGCAGAUGAAAAAUCUGUUCAAAAUG
RNAcentral lists this ribosomal RNA (369 nucleotides) under Triticum aestivum (bread wheat). RNAcentral's name for it is "partial small subunit ribosomal RNA". Lineage: Eukaryota; Viridiplantae; Streptophyta; Magnoliopsida; Poales; Poaceae. The record is from RNAcentral.